UAAUACGUGAUGUGAACAUCCGCUGUGGCGGAUGUUUAAAGACUUGAUCGCUUGGGGAUGGGGUUGCGUUCCAUCAGCUGGUUGGUGGGGUAAAGGCCCACCAAGGCAACGACGGAUAGCCGGCCUGAGAGGGUGGCCGGCCACAGGGGCACUGAGACACGGGUCCCACUCCUACGGGAGGCAGCAGUUAGGAAUCUUCCACAAUGGGCGCAAGCCUGAUGGAGCGACGCCGCGUGAGGGAUGAAGGUUCUCGGAUCGUAAACCUCUGAAUCAACGACGAAAGACCCGACGAGGGAGAUGACGGUAGUUGAGUAAUAGCACCGGCUAACUCCGUGC
Molecule: ribosomal RNA, 336 nt
Filed under: uncultured Rickettsia sp.
Lineage: Bacteria; Pseudomonadati; Pseudomonadota; Alphaproteobacteria; Rickettsiales; Rickettsiaceae
Description: bacterial SSU rRNA
Rfam family: Bacterial small subunit ribosomal RNA
Source: RNAcentral